CACGGGCUUAUUCAAGGCAAAAAUGUUGUUUACCAUUCAAUGGUCUUCCUAUGGAAUGAUGAUUCAGGGAAUGGGUGGGUAACAAAUUAGGUCAAGCUUUCAAUUUUACCCUCACCAUUAUCAUUUAUUUCUCACGUCUGAAACCUUUUUCCCUUUUUUUUUAUGCUUCUUCCUUCCAAUGUAAUCAUCAACAAAUUCCCAACUUAUCAAUUUAAUUUUUUUAAUCCUAUUUCCUCCCAACCCUAUCUCCCCUUGACAAACCCCAACAAGGCAUUCAAUCUCAUAACCGCUUUUCUAACUCCAAAUGCCCUCAACAAGGCCUUGUCUUGCUUUCGAUUGAGGUGGAAACUUGAGAAGAGAAACAAAUGGAUGGUGGUUCGAUAUGAGGCUUCAGCUAUAGCUGAGAAAAGAGGCCGAAGAUACCUUUGUGGAGAAAUUUAAGUACCAAGUAGAAUUGUUGUGUCCACAAAGAGUCCAAAAUCAGACAAGCAAUACGUUUGAGAAGUUGUAGCAGGUAGUAGUUCCUAUGUGAAUAGGGAGGAAACUGAUCUAGAAAAUCUUCUAGUUCGUGGUACAUAGAUUACCCUUUUUUUAAGGGUACUGUGUUUGUUAUUCUUUUUCCCUUUUUACACCCUAUUUGAAUGUAUUUGCAUUUGUAUUUUAAAAAUUUAUAGGAAGAUUAUAAAUAGCAUUGAGAUCUUAAUGUAGUGUUUCAUGUUACAAAUAUAAUUGCCUUAGAAAUUUCUGGUUCUUUAAAUGUACAAUUCUUUUAAGUGCCAAAUGUCUAAGAUAUUGUUCUCCUGCGGUCAGAUGACAAGUAUGAAUUCUCAGAUCCCACCAGAAUUCAGAAUUCGGUGAAGAAUUAUUCCCAGUUUGUUUCUUUCCCAAUCUACAUUUAUGGUUCCUCCAGCACAUUUGAAUCCUGAAUCUUUUAAUAAUAUGGGUGCUUUGCGAGACAGUGGAGAUUUUGUGGCCUAGGAAAGUUGGUUAGAUGAUUUGCUCCAAAGUAAUGGUUGCAAGCUACUAUUUAGUGAAUUUAUUGUUUCUUUGAGUUAUAUUGAAGAUAAUUUUUAGCAUUCAUUUCUUCUCAAUUGUAUGUAAUGAUAUGUAGGGAUAGGAUUUUUAAUUACCUUUGAUGUCAUAGUUGUCGUCGUCAACAGAUACGAGGUUUAUCAACACAAUGCUAAUGCGCUCAAUAAAAUAUUUCAAAACCAUGCUUGCUUUGCUGACCAAUUUUGAUUGAACAAUCGAGAGUUUCAAAGCAACAUUAUGAAUACAGUUGUUGAAAUUUACCGGAGAUUAGAAAGCGAUCUGAAGUUGGCAAAGACUCAUCAAACAUUGGAGGAUCAUAAAGCGAUUGCGAGAAACUUUCCGAGAAGCCAAUUUGAAGUUGUCCAGGUUAAAAAAGAAAUAACGGCUAGAGUAAUUGUUGCUUCUCGUUAUUUCGUUCAAGUAAUAGCAGUCUAAGAAUCUUUUACUGGUUAAUUGGAAUGUUGAUGAAUUGAUAGUAAUGUAUGCUUUUGUGUGAGGGUUUGUCUUUGAAUCAAGAGAAUGUUAAGAACUCAUGUGGUUUGAUACUUUUGGUAUUUUAAAGCUAUUUUUGUGUGGAA
This is a long non-coding RNA of Gossypium arboreum, 1610 nucleotides long. RefSeq lists it as uncharacterized. The transcript is spliced from 3 exons. The record is from RefSeq and is a predicted model, not a curated record. Lineage: Eukaryota; Viridiplantae; Streptophyta; Magnoliopsida; Malvales; Malvaceae.